RNAcentral lists this ribosomal RNA (492 nucleotides) under uncultured bacterium. RNAcentral describes it as "partial 16S ribosomal RNA". It matches the Rfam family "Bacterial small subunit ribosomal RNA", at positions 30 to 507 of the family's 1533-position model. The record is from RNAcentral.
AUUGAACGCUGGCGGCAUGCUUUACACAUGCAAGUCGAACGGUAACAGGCCUUCGGGUGCUGACGAGUGGCGAACGGGUGAGUAAUGCAUCGGAACGUACCCAGAGGUGGGGGAUAACGCAGCGAAAGCUGUGCUAAUACUGCAUGUGAUCUGAGGAUGAAAGCGGGGGACCGAGCAGCAAUGUUUGGCCUCGCGCCUUUGGAGCGGCCGAUGUCGGAUUAGCUAGUUGGUGGGGUAAAGGCCUACCAAGGCGACGAUCCGUAGCUGGUCUGAGAGGACGACCAGCCACACUGGGACUGAGACACGGCCCAGACUCCUACGGGAGGCAGCAGUGGGGAAUUUUGGACAAUGGGCGCAAGCCUGAUCCAGCAAUACCGCGUGCGGGAAGAAGGCCUUCGGGUUGUAAACCGCUUUUGGCAGGAACGAAACGGUGUCCGCUAAUACCGGGCGCUAAUGACGGUACCUGCAGAAUAAGCACCGGCUAACUACGUG